CAGGUAGAAGGACAAGAAAAUAAUGAGCCAUUGCCAUAGAAACACAAAGGGUUAAAGCAGUACUGCUAUAUGCCAGUCCUGUCUGCAUUCUUAAGGGUGCAGUUCAACACAUCCUGUGUAGAUUAUGGUGAAAAAGUAUUCCAAAGGAAAGUCCUUUCAAAGCUAGUGUCAGAGUGACACAGCCAAUUGGGCAAUGAUCUUCAG
RNAcentral lists this long non-coding RNA (204 nucleotides) under Gallus gallus (chicken). RNAcentral describes it as "long non-coding RNA NONGGAT008437". Lineage: Eukaryota; Metazoa; Chordata; Aves; Galliformes; Phasianidae. The record is from RNAcentral.